GACGAACGCUGGCGGCGUGCCUAAUACAUGCAAGUCGAGCGAAGUUUUUCUGGUGCUUGCACUAGAAAAACUUAGCGGCGAACGGGUGAGUAACACGUAAAGAACCUGCCUCAUAGACUGGGACAACUAUUGGAAACGAUAGCUAAUACCGGAUAACAGUAUUUCUCGCAUGAGAGAUAUUUAAAAGUUGGUUAUGCUAACACUAUGAGAUGGCUUUGCGGUGCAUUAGCUCGUUGGUGGGGUAAAGGCCCACCAAGGCGACGAUGCAUAGCCGACCUGAGAGGGUGAUCGGCCACACUGGGACUGAGACACGGCCCAGACUCCUACGGGAGGCAGCAGUAGGGAAUCUUCCGCAAAGGGCGAAAGCCUGACGGAGCAACGCCGCGUGAGUGAAGAAGGAUUUCGGUUCGUAAAGCUCUGUUGUUAGGGAAGAAUGGAUAUGUAGUAACUAUACAUGUAAGAGACGGUACCUAACCAGAAAGCCACGGCUAACUACGUG
Molecule: ribosomal RNA, 499 nt
Filed under: uncultured bacterium
Lineage: Bacteria
Description: partial 16S ribosomal RNA
Rfam family: Bacterial small subunit ribosomal RNA
Source: RNAcentral